This 419-nucleotide ribosomal RNA is filed under the name uncultured bacterium. RNAcentral's name for it is "bacterial SSU rRNA". It matches the Rfam family "Bacterial small subunit ribosomal RNA", at positions 357 to 775 of the family's 1533-position model. The record is from RNAcentral.
AGGAAUAUUGGUCAAUGGCCGGAAGGCUGAACCAGCCAUGCCGCGUGAAGGUCAGUGCCCUAUGGGCGUUAAACUUCUUUUGUGCGGGAGCAAUAAGGUCCACGUGUGGGCCGACGAGAGUACCGUACGAAUAAGCAUCGGCUAACUCCGUGCCAGCAGCCGCGGUAAUACGGGGGAUGCAAGCGUUAUCCGGAUUUAUUGGGUUUAAAGGGUGCGUAGGCGGGAUGCCAAGUCAGCGGUCAAAUACGGGGGCUCAACCUGCGUCCGCCGUUGAAACUGGCGUUCUUGAGUGGGCGAGAAGUACGCGGAAUGCGUGGUGUAGCGGUGAAAUGCAUAGAUAUCACGCAGAACCCCGAUUGCGAAGGCAGCGUACCGGCGCCCUACUGACGCUGAAGCACGAAAGCGUGGGUAUCGAACAG